RNAcentral lists this ribosomal RNA (622 nucleotides) under uncultured marine bacterium. Its description in RNAcentral is "bacterial SSU rRNA". It matches the Rfam family "Bacterial small subunit ribosomal RNA", at positions 8 to 626 of the family's 1533-position model. The record is from RNAcentral.
AGAGUUUGAUCAUGGCUCAGAUUGAACGCUGGCGGUAGGCUUAACACAUGCAAGUCGAGCGAGAAAGUAUCUUCGGAUAUGAGUAGAGCGGCGGACGGGUGAGUAACGCGUAGGAAUCUACCUAGUAGAAGGGGAUGGCCCGGGGAAACUCGGAUUAAUACCGUAUACCUCCUAAGGGAGAAAGAGGGCCUCUCUUGAAGCUUUCGCUAUUAGAUGAGCCUGCGUAAGAUUAGCUUGUUGGUGAGGUAAUGGCUCACCAAGGCUACGAUCUUUAGCUGGUCUGAGAGGACGAUCAGCCACAUUGGGACUGAGACACGGCCCAGACUCCUACGGGAGGCAGCAGUGGGGAAUAUUGGACAAUGGGCGCAAGCCUGAUCCAGCCAUACCGCGUGUGUGAAGAAGGCCUUCGGGUUGUAAAGCACUUUAAGCAGGGAGAAAAAGUUAUAAGUUAAUACCUUAUAACCGUGAUGUUACCUGCAGAAUAAGCACCGGCUAAUUCCGUGCCAGCAGCCGCGGUAAUACGGAAGGUGCAAGCGUUAAUCGGAAUUACUGGGCGUAAAGCGCGCGUAGGUGGUUUGUUAAGUUGGAUGUGAAAGCCCUGGGCUCAACCUAGGAACUGCAU